UUACUGGGCGUAAAGACGCAUGCAGGUGGUUUGUUAAGUCAGAUGUGAAAGACCCGGGGCGUCAACCUCGGAAUAGCAUUUGUAAACUAGGCAGACUAGAGUACUGUAGAGGGGGGUAGGAAUUUCUAGGUGUAGCGGUGAAAUAGCGUAGAGAUCUGAAGGAAUACCGGUGGCGAAGGCGGCCCCCUCGGACAGAUACUGACACUCAGAUGCGAAAGCGUGGGGAGCAAACAGGAUUAGAUACCCUGGUAG
RNAcentral lists this ribosomal RNA (252 nucleotides) under uncultured bacterium. RNAcentral describes it as "partial 16S ribosomal RNA". It matches the Rfam family "Bacterial small subunit ribosomal RNA", at positions 551 to 793 of the family's 1533-position model. The record is from RNAcentral.